This is a long non-coding RNA of Fukomys damarensis (Damara mole-rat), 480 nucleotides long. RefSeq lists it as uncharacterized. The transcript is spliced from 3 exons. NCBI's taxonomy places the organism in Eukaryota, Metazoa, Chordata, Mammalia, Rodentia, Bathyergidae. The record is from RefSeq and is a predicted model, not a curated record.
GCCUUCCUCCUCAGGUCCCAAGUCACGCGCCUCAAAUCCUAUCCUUGCCCAAUGACCCAGCCAGGCCCCUCAAGCCUGAGUUGUGUCCCCACAUCGCCUACAUAAGGCCACGUCCCCUGGCCGUAGCCACACCCCUUUUAAACAGUGCUCCAGAGGCGUGUCCGCCCGCACCCGCCGGUUACGCCCCAUCAUGGAGACCACGCCCCCAGUAGGCCUGCUCUCUCUUGGUUGGCUCCCUCCCGCGGACCUGCCCCACCCUCCUCUCUGGUCUGUUGUGGCCCAGCUGACCAGGCCAGCCAGGUGCUUUCCAGCUCCUCCACGGAAACACAUCUGUGAACUAUUAUGCUUGAAGGAUCAAGGUCAUCAAUUUUCCAUACUUCUGAAAAGAAAAAGGAGAACAAACCUAGUGAAUCUGGACAUAUAAGCUACAGAAAGAGUGGUACUUAAAUAUCUUAUUUGUGAGGCCAACUCUGGCUUUGG